Molecule: ribosomal RNA, 268 nt
Filed under: uncultured Oscillospiraceae bacterium
Lineage: Bacteria; Bacillati; Bacillota; Clostridia; Eubacteriales; Oscillospiraceae
Description: partial 16S ribosomal RNA
Rfam family: Bacterial small subunit ribosomal RNA
Source: RNAcentral
AUGUUUAUUUCGGUAGACAUCUUAGUGGCGCACGGGUGAGUAACGCGUGAAUAACCUGACCCGAAGAGGGGGAUAACGAUUGGAAACGACUGCUAAUACCGCAUGACACAUUGGGGUCGCAUGGCCUUGAUGUCAAAGAUUUAUCGCUGAAAGAUGGCCUCGCGUCUGAUUAGCUAGUUGGUGAGGUAACGGCCCACCAAGGCGACGAUCAGUAGCCGGACUGAGAGGUUGAACGGCCACAUUGGGACUGAGAUACGGCCCAGACUCC